This 499-nucleotide ribosomal RNA is filed under the name uncultured bacterium. RNAcentral describes it as "partial 16S ribosomal RNA". It matches the Rfam family "Bacterial small subunit ribosomal RNA", at positions 28 to 507 of the family's 1533-position model. The record is from RNAcentral.
GACGAACGCUGGCGGCGUGCCUAAUACAUGCAAGUCGAGCGAAGUUUUUCUGGUGCUUGCACCGGAAAAACUUAGCGGCGAAGGGGUGAGUAACACGUAAAGAACCUGCCUCAUAGACUGAGACAACUAUUGGAAACGAUAGCUAAUACCGGAUAAUAUCAUUAACUGCAUGGUUGAUGUGUAAAAGUUGGUUUUUCUAACACUAUGAUAUGGCUUUGCGGUGCAUUAGCUAGUUGGUGGGGUAAAGGCCUACCAAGGCGACGAUGCAUAGCCGACCUGAGAGGGUGAUCGGCCACACUGGGACUGAGACACGGCCCAGACUCCUACGGGAGGCAGCAGUAGGGAAUCUUCCGCAAUGGGCGAAAGCCUGACGGAGCAACGCCGCGUGAGUGAAGAAGGAUUUCGGUUCGUAAAGCUCUGUUGUUAGGGAAGAAUGAUUGUGUAGUAAAUAUACACAGUAGAGACGGUACCUAACCAGAAAGCCACGGCUAACUACGUG